UUACGGCCAUAUCAUGUUGAAAUUCCGGUUCCCGUACGAUCACCGAAGUUAAGCAACGUUGAGUAUGGCUUGUAUCUAGAUGGGUGACCGCUUGAGAAUACAAGGUGCUGUAAG
Non-coding RNA from Acanthosepion pharaonis, 114 nucleotides. The record is from the annotation of a GenBank genome assembly. NCBI's taxonomy places the organism in Eukaryota, Metazoa, Mollusca, Cephalopoda, Sepiida, Sepiidae.